GACGAACGCUGGCGGCGUGCUUAACACAUGCAAGUCGAACGGAAAGGCCCUGCUUUUGUGGGGUGCUCGCGUGGCGAACGGGUGAGUAACACGUGAGUAACCUGCCCUUGACUUUGGGAUAACUUCAGGAAACUGGGGCUACUACCGGAUAGGAGCUCCUGCUGCAUGGUGGGGGUCGGAACGUUUGGGCGGUUGGGGAUGGACUCGCGGCUUAUCAGCUUGUUGGUGGGGUAGUGGCUUACCAAGGCUUUGAUGGAUAGCCGGCCUGAGAGGGUGACCGGCCACAUUGGGACUGAGAUACGGCCCAGACUCCUACGGGAGGCAGCAGUGGGGAAUAUUGCACAAUGGGCGGAAGCCUGAUGCAGCAACGCCGCGUGCGGGAUGACGGCCUUCGGGUUGUAAACCGCUUUCGCCUGUGACGAAGCGUGAGUGACGGUAAUGGGUGAAGAAGCACCGGCUAACUACGUG
RNAcentral lists this ribosomal RNA (468 nucleotides) under uncultured bacterium. Its description in RNAcentral is "partial 16S ribosomal RNA". It matches the Rfam family "Bacterial small subunit ribosomal RNA", at positions 28 to 507 of the family's 1533-position model. The record is from RNAcentral.